AUUGAACGCUGGCGGCAGGCCUAACACAUGCAAGUCGAGCGGAUGAAGGUAGCUUGCUCCUGGAUUCAGCGGCGGACGGGUGAGUAAUGCCUAGGAAUCUGCCCGGUAGUGGGGGAUAACGUCCGGAAACGGGCGCUAAUACCGCAUACGUCCUGAGGGAGAAAGUGGGGGAUCUUCGGACCUCACGCUAUCAGAUUAGCCUAGGUGGGAUUAGCGAGUUGGUGGGGUAAAGGCCUACCAAGGCGACGAUCCGUAACUUGUCUGAGAGGUUGCUCAGUAAAAUUGGAACUGAGACACGGUCCAGACUCCUCCGGGAGGCAGCAGUGGGGAACAUUGGACAUUGGGCGAAAGCUUGAUGCAGCCAUGCGGGGUGGGUGAAGAAGGUCUUCGGAUGUAAAAGCACGUUAAGUUGGGAGGAAGGGCAGUAAGUUAAUAAGUUGCUGUUGUGACGUUACCAACAGAAUAAGCAACGGCUAACUUCGUG
RNAcentral lists this ribosomal RNA (484 nucleotides) under uncultured bacterium. RNAcentral's name for it is "partial 16S ribosomal RNA". It matches the Rfam family "Bacterial small subunit ribosomal RNA", at positions 30 to 507 of the family's 1533-position model. The record is from RNAcentral.